GGCCGUCUGGUGGAAUGGUAUACACAGGAGAUUUAAAAUCUCCCGAUCGCAAUGAUCAUCCGGGUUCGAGUCCCGGGGCGGCUACCA
Molecule: transfer RNA, 87 nt
Filed under: Crocinitomicaceae bacterium
Lineage: Bacteria; Pseudomonadati; Bacteroidota; Flavobacteriia; Flavobacteriales; Crocinitomicaceae
Description: tRNA-Leu
Rfam family: tRNA
About the family: Transfer RNA (tRNA) molecules are approximately 80 nucleotides in length.
Source: RNAcentral